GACGAACGCUGGCGGCGUGCUUAACACAUGCAAGUCGAACGGUGAAGCUCCAGCUUGCUGGAGUGGAUCAGUGGCGAACGGGUGAGUAACACGUGAGCAACCUGCCCCUGACUCUGGAAUAAGCGCUGGAAACGGCGUCUAAUACUGGAUACGAGAAGGGUCCGCAUGGGCACUUUCUGGAAAGUUUUUCGGUUGGGGAUGGGCUCGCGGCCUAUCAGCUUGUUGGUGAGGUAAUGGCUCACCAAGGCGACGACGGGUAGCCGGCCUGAGAGGGCGACCGGCCACACUGGGACUGAGACACGGCCCAGACUCCUACGGGAGGCAGCAGUGGGGAAUAUUGCACAAUGGGCGAAAGCCUGAUGCGGCGACGCCGCGUGAGGGAUGACGGCCUUCGGGUUGUAAACCUCUUUCAGCAGGGAAGAAGCGAAAGUGACGGUACCUGCAGAAGAAGCACCGGCUAACUACGUG
This 468-nucleotide ribosomal RNA is filed under the name uncultured bacterium. RNAcentral describes it as "partial 16S ribosomal RNA". It matches the Rfam family "Bacterial small subunit ribosomal RNA", at positions 28 to 507 of the family's 1533-position model. The record is from RNAcentral.